Molecule: ribosomal RNA, 406 nt
Filed under: uncultured bacterium
Lineage: Bacteria
Description: partial 16S ribosomal RNA
Rfam family: Bacterial small subunit ribosomal RNA
Source: RNAcentral
AUUGAACGCUGGCGGCAGGCUUAACACAUGCCAGUCGAGCGAGCGUCGGACGGGUGAGUAAUGUCUGGGAAACUGCCUGAUGGAGGGGGAUAACUACUGGAAACGGUCGCUAAUACCGCAUUCCAUCCUAUGUGCCCAUAUGGGAUUAGCUAGUAGGUGGGGUAAUGGCUAACCUAGGCGACGCUCCCUAGGUGGUCUGAGAGGAUGACCAGCGAGACUGGAACUGAGAGACGGACGAGACUAGUACGGGAGGCAGCAGUGGGGAAUAGUGCACAAUGGGCGCAAGCCUGAUGCAGCCAUGCCGCGUGUGUGAAGAAGGCGUUCGGGUUGUAAAGAACGUUCAGCGAGGAGGCGUUACUCGCAGAAGAAGCAACGGCUAACUCCGUGCCAGCAGCAGCGGUAAUUC